RNAcentral lists this long non-coding RNA (1049 nucleotides) under Astyanax mexicanus (Mexican tetra). Its description in RNAcentral is "lncRNA (ENSAMXG00005025364.1)". The record is from RNAcentral. Lineage: Eukaryota; Metazoa; Chordata; Actinopteri; Characiformes; Acestrorhamphidae.
AGUAAGAUGAAGACGUAUGAGUCCAUUUUAACGAUAAUAUGAUGUAUGUUUGUGUGUAACUGCUGUAGCUUGCAGGUGACGCAGUGCGUAUGACUCAGAGGGAGAAAGAGCGCUUACAGGAGCUCCUCAAGGACAUAGAAGAAGAAGAGGAGGCUUAUGAUGACCCACUGGCCAACCCUGAGCUUGCAGGUGAUGUGGGGAGUGGAGUUUUGACUCAGAAAGAAAAAGACAGAUUAAAUCAGCUCCUCAGUGACUUAGAAGAAGAAGAAGAAGAAGAAGAUUAUGAUGACCCACUGGCCAGCCCUGAGCAUCACUCACUCCGCCGCGUGCUGCCAGAGGAUUUGGCUGCGACAGUUAUGGUGUCCUUCUUCCCUUUGCAACUCGUUCGUCUGCAAUUAUACAUGGCAACCAAACAGAGCGGAAUACAGAUGCUCGGAGGCCACCUGAAGGGUCAGAGCGAAAGGCUUCCUAUUAUUGCGAGACCCUGUUGUUGUGCGUGCUGCAGACAUUUUUUGAUGUCUUUUGGCCGAUGCCGGGGACAUGUGAGUGACCAGGCACACAGAAGGGUCUUGGCAGCCUCUGAUAUGACCUCAUAAUCAAACACAGACGCCUCCUGUUCUCCUCUUCUAUGUUUUAUAGCCCGUCAGUCAGGAAUCGAUUCCCCGAGGCGUUAAAAUGUGACUUCUACCUGCAGGAGGACUAUAGUUAGGACUGAACGGCGUUUUAAAUCUUCCUCUUUUGCAGACUUCAGGCUAAAUUUGAGAAAAGACUGAUGACCUUUAAACUGGUUUCCAAUCCAAAUGAUCCCCAUUAUCCAUUUUUCAUUUGUAGUUCUAAAAUUACAGACUGUAGUCCUGAAUCUCUUUCUCUGCAUGCUUUAUUAUCAUUUUCUACCCGGUUCUUUAAUGGUCAGGACCCCACAGGACCACAGGACCUUUUUUCUGGCAUGAGUAGAUCAGAUGCAGCAGUGCUUAUGGAGUUUUUAAACACCGUUACCACUCAUUAACAUUUUAAUGUAACACAAGACAAACAAUAAAUCUACACUGAUG